CCUUCACUUUUACACGUUAAUGUUCUUUGAUUAAACCCACGAGCCCUUAUUUCUCAUGUAGCAAAACCUUUGAGAUUUGGUUUGAUCAUUAUCACUCCACAGAAAUACAGUAAGCGUGCGUCUCCUCCGUGUCACUGCGUAUCAUCAGGGGUGGAUUGGACAGAUGCCCAGGGUGGCAUCUUUUGGGGGGGGGCAGCGCGAGGCACCCACCCCCUGGUCAACAACUUGGGGGCGUUCUCAUUUACAGUUUAAUCAUCACGACAGGCCUACAUGUGGGUUUGGAACAACCUAAGGGUCUCUUGCUACUUUCUUUAAAGGAGGAAGCGGGAGCCGGAUAAACGAUCUAACCUGGUCCCUGCCUCCUCCUUUCCCAUUCUUAACCUUUGUUACAUUGGUGCUGAAGCCCAGGAAGGAGGAAGGAUGAGCUGUCGUGGAGUCCUCGCCACUGCCAUCCACCCAAAAGAGCAGUUGCUGCCGGCUGCCUGGACGUGGAGGAACAGCUGCCAUCCACUAGGGGAGGAGGGGCUCAAUGCUGGCUGCCUGGAGCGGUGGAGUUCCCUACCGGUCGCCAAAACGCGAAGGGGCGUUCCAUCUGCCAGGGGUCGGAGGACUGGCUCCGGUCCGCCCGGGGAGGAGCGGCUGUCAUCCGCCAGAGGGUGGAGGAGUGAUCGAGGACCAGGCGACGUCAUGUCUGUUAACCGGCGAACAAGUUUUUUAAUCUUUCUCCUCUCUCUCUCUCUCUCUCUCUCUCUCACACUGUCGCUCCGCCUUGCCCUUUCCCUCUCCUCUUUCGUUUGUUUUGUUUUUCCCUCCCCUCGUCCCCCUCCCCAGCCCUAGAGAGGUGGGGAAAAGCCUGCCAGCAGGAAGGAGGAGUGUGACGAGGAGGAGGGUGGGGCCAGGCCAUGACUACACACGCCCGGGCCCAAAUCGGGCUAAUCAGCCGAGGAGAGGCAUAAGUGCAGCGGGAUGCGGCAGUUCGGGAGAGAGAGAGCCACAUGCAGCUGCCAUGUGUGUGUUUUUAUGUUUUGUGUCUUUUUGUUUAAAUUAAAUAUUAUUUUAACUGUUCAGCCGGUUCCCGCCUCCUCCUUUCCCAUCCUUAACCUUUGUUACAUUAGUGUACUUGUUAACCAAGUGGACUAAGGUGUUACCGAAGAGCAUGCUCAAGAUGAAAUAUGAGACCAGUGAAAAUCAAGGGAAAUAUCACUUGUGAGCAGAAUAUUUUUAUUGGAAGUCAAGCUGUAAUUUUGCCAAAUUGCGCAAAAGUUUAACAAUAUUCUUUAAUUGUGUGUAUUUAGGAUACAUAAAAUGUUAACUAUGAAAUGGGCCAUUUUAUUAAAAAAAACUGUAACAAAUGUCACUUCCAUCAGCAUCAUUUCCAGCACAGAAUUCUAUUAAACACAAUGCAGAAUUUGAGAUGUGCUAGAAAUGAGACUCUGGUGGGAAUUUUCAUGACAAAACGACAUAAAUCUCCUGUGAUGCAUGUACAAAAUAAAAUGGUUUUACCUAGACUAAAA
This is a long non-coding RNA of Myxocyprinus asiaticus (Chinese sucker), 1514 nucleotides long. RefSeq lists it as uncharacterized. The record is from RefSeq and is a predicted model, not a curated record. Lineage: Eukaryota; Metazoa; Chordata; Actinopteri; Cypriniformes; Catostomidae. The transcript has 3 exons.